RNAcentral lists this ribosomal RNA (213 nucleotides) under uncultured bacterium. Its description in RNAcentral is "partial 16S ribosomal RNA". It matches the Rfam family "Bacterial small subunit ribosomal RNA", at positions 524 to 734 of the family's 1533-position model. The record is from RNAcentral.
UACGGAGGGGCUAGGCGUUGUUCGGAAUUACUAGGGCGUAAAGCGUGACGCAGGCGGUGAUGUAAGACCGAUGUGAAAUCCCCGGGCUUAACCGUGGGAACUGCAUUGGUGACUGCAUUGCUGGAGUAGUGGCAGAGGGGGGUGGAAUUCCGCGUGUAGCAGUGAAAUGCGUAGAUAUGCGGAGGAACACCGAUGGCGAAGCAUCCCGUGGCU